Salvia splendens (bonfire salvia) is the source of this 1341-nucleotide long non-coding RNA. RefSeq lists it as uncharacterized. Lineage: Eukaryota; Viridiplantae; Streptophyta; Magnoliopsida; Lamiales; Lamiaceae. The transcript is spliced from 3 exons. The record is from RefSeq and is a predicted model, not a curated record.
UAGUUGCUUGACAUUUUUAUUCAGUGUCAUUUACAUGCAAACCAAAAAUAUAUAAUUAAUAUAUAAAUAUAGUGAUAUACUCCUAUAUAUUAUGAUUAUGUGUUGUCAAAUUUUCUUUGCUUGUGUAUUGUUUUGUGUGUAGAGAUUUAUUUAAUGUGGCCAAAGAUCUUAUAUGUCAAACUUGUCAUAAACUGAGAAUUUUUGUCGUGUUUUCCUUUUGGAUCUUGAGUAGUGAUUACUCCUUCAGGUUUGUGAUACUUAUCUGAGUAUUAUGCCAAUACAGCUUAUUACCGAGCUCAUGUGAUAUGCAACAUUGCAAGUAAUUGUGGUGUCUUUUAUUGGUGCUAAGAUUGCUAGCAGUAGUCUAUUGUAAUUUGUAAAUAUAUAUAUAUAUAUAUAUAUAUAUAUAUAUAAACAAAGUCCUUGACUAUACUCCGUAGGAUGUUUUUAGAUGCCAAAUCAUUACAAUUGCUUGUGGGUGUCUUUUGCAUACAAAUAAACAAAGGUAUUGACUAAUACUUAGGAUUUUUUGGAUGAUAUUUGGCACUGGACAAUCAGUAUGUGAAAUCUUAUGUUGCAUUAAUUGUUGUUGGACCAAAGUCUCUUGUUGUUAGCUAUAACCAUCUCCGAUCAUAGAAAGAAAAAGAACACGAAAAAAAUCCAGCUGUCAUUCGAUAAGAUUCCAUUAUUAAAGUGCAGUUUAAUUCAAAUGGUAGGAAUAGCACCAGUGACAAGGUAGUUUUCCUUCAUUUGAUAUGUACUCUGUUAGUGUCCAAAAACUAUUUUAUCUUUUACAGCUUUCAAUCAUAAUUUUGAAGAUUCGACAUUAUAACACUUCCUGAAGCUCUACUCUUGCAGGUUAUCUGAUCACUUCACUUGUUGAUACUGGUUUCAAUGGUCAUGUGGUUGAAAAAGGCGAGGUGAUUGCUCUACUUGACAUAGCAAUAUGUUUGUAUGAGGCUAUGCUCAUUUGGAGAGGGCAGCUCAGAAGGGAAAGUGAUUUCGCUAUGAACUUCGAUUGUGAAUAUUUAUACCUUUCAUGUCCAACAUAAUCUUUGACAACUCAAAUAAGGUCACAUUGUAUAGGGACUUUGCCCUUUGGACAUAAAAGAGGCUCGCAUAUCUAAAGAGAAGCAAUGCAGCUAUAAAUUUGUUUUGCACUAUAAAUUUGUUUUACACUUCUAUAUGGGAUUAGGACUUUACUAUUUUUAUUACUAUUAUAUGUGUUCAAAACACAUAAGAUUGUUUUAUGUAAAAUCAUUAGAUACUGGAUGUCUAUUUAGCCAAAUUUUGGCAUUUUAUUUGACGAGUUUUUAAUGAAAUUUGUUGGAUUAUUACUAA